AUUGAACGCUGGCGGAAUGCUUUACACAUGCAAGUCGAGCGGCAGCGCGGGGGCAACCCUGGCGGCGAGCGGCGAACGGGUGAGUAACAUAUCGGAACGUACCCCGUCGUGGGGGAUAACACAGCGAAAGCUGUGCUAAUACCGCAUACGACCUGAGGGUGAAAGCGGGGGAUCGCAAGACCUCGCGCGAUGGGAGCGGCCGAUAUCGGAUUAGCUUGUUGGUGAGGUAAAGGCUCACCAAGGCGACGAUCCGUAGCUGGUCUGAGAGGACGACCAGCCACACUGGAACUGAGACACGGUCCAGACUCCUACGGGAGGCAGCAUGGGGAAUUUUGGACAAUGGGGGCAACCCUGAUCAGCCAUUCCGCGUGAGUGAAGAAGGCC
RNAcentral lists this ribosomal RNA (384 nucleotides) under uncultured bacterium. Its description in RNAcentral is "bacterial SSU rRNA". It matches the Rfam family "Bacterial small subunit ribosomal RNA", at positions 29 to 416 of the family's 1533-position model. The record is from RNAcentral.